This is a non-coding RNA of Notechis scutatus (mainland tiger snake), 685 nucleotides long. The record is from RefSeq and is a predicted model, not a curated record. NCBI's taxonomy places the organism in Eukaryota, Metazoa, Chordata, Lepidosauria, Squamata, Elapidae.
UUAUCUGAUGUUCUUUUACGCAUUUCUGUUACAGCUUUCUGAUGGGUGUUUAUCUUUCAGGAUAUGUUAUCACAAAAAAACAAAAGGUAAAGCCAAUAACAGAGCUCCAGAUCAACUGCAGAGGCUUUUCCUGAAGAUCUCUGACAGUGAAAUGAGGCCGGGGGCGAUGUGCAUGUCAAUACAGAGCCCGUUUCUUAGCUGCAGAAAUUUGCUUAAUGAUUAUGGGGGGAAAGUUGUAAAUAAACUGUGACUAUUAACAACUGCAUUGCUUAGCAAGUUCCCAUACCAAUUUUAGUCAUAAAUCAAGGUAUUACAACCAACCAUAGAUCUUGUCUACUAAAAGUCUGAGAUUAAGUACAAGUUGCAGUGCUGCCUUUUCUCACCACCAGUUAGCAUAUCUGACAUUGCAGUACCAGAUUAUCUGCUUAUAUAUGCUCUGUAAAUCUUUCUACCACCUAUAGAUAUGGAAGGAAAGUUCAUCUUGCUCAUUAUAAGUGAAAGACAGAAUGCUAUUGGAUGUUCUUCUCUUUGAUUUAGAUUGCAAUCCAAGCAAGUUUAAGCUACAGCUGCUAAUUUGAAUUUCCAUAGCGACUGUGGAUAGGUUAAAUUGGUCCAAUCAAACCAAAUGUGGACCAGAAUCUAUCUGGAACCUAUCUUGCAGAAGAUAUUCAUGUGUAGCCAUGAU